ACAAAAACACGCCAUAUCGUCCAAUAUAUACAUAUAUAUAUAUAUAUAUAAUUAUACUCUACAAAAAAUAUAUAAAACGGCGAGUUACUUCAUUAUUUAGACACAACACAAUUUCAUACAAAUUUAUACUUUGUCUACUUUUUACAAGUUCUCCACAAACCAAAAUCAAAAAUGGGCGCAGAAAAGGUAUCCAUGAACAUCGUUGUCGUCGGACAAGUGCAAUCUGCCAAGUCUGUCAAAAUCGUUUCAAAGGCCCAACCUCAAGCUUCCAACACUAUGAGUUGUUAAGCGGUCGCAGAUAAUUCAAGAAACAAAUCAAAAAUGCCAUAGACUAAAGUUGAAAGUCUUGUUAACAUUAUGUUAUUCAAGUAGUUUUCAAGACUUUCAAUACCAACCAUUACAUAUUAUGUUAUUAAUAUGUAUUGUUAUUAUCAAAAAAAUUCAUAAAUAAAUUAUAAAUGUACUGUUA
This is a long non-coding RNA of Adelges cooleyi (spruce gall adelgid), 469 nucleotides long. RefSeq lists it as uncharacterized. The transcript has 3 exons. The record is from RefSeq and is a predicted model, not a curated record. Lineage: Eukaryota; Metazoa; Arthropoda; Insecta; Hemiptera; Adelgidae.